GUGGGGAAUCUUGGACAAUGGGCGCAACCCUGAUCCAGCCAUGCCGCGUGAGUGAUGAAGGCCUUAGGGUCGUAAAGCUCUUUCGCCAGAGAUGAUAAUGACAGUAUCUGGUAAAGAAACCCCGGCUAACUCCGUGCCAGCAGCCGCGGUAAUACGGAGGGGGUUAGCGUUGUUCGGAAUUACUGGGCGUAAAGCGUACGUAGGCGGAUUAGUCAGUCAGAGGUGAAAUCCCAGGGCUCAACCCUGGAACUGCCUUUGAUACUGCUAGUCUUGAGUUCGAGAGAGGUGAGUGGAAUUCCAAGUGUAGAGGUGAAAUUCGUAGAUAUUUGGAGGAACACCAGUGGCGAAGGCGGCUCACUGGCUCGAUACUGACGCUGAGGUACGAAAGUGUGGGGAGCAAACAGGAUUAGAUACCCUGGUAGUCCACACCGUAAACGAUGAAUGCCAGUCGUCGGGCAUAUACUGUUCGGUGACACACCUAACGGAUUAAGCAUUCCGCCUGGGGAGUACGGUCGCAAGAUU
Molecule: ribosomal RNA, 522 nt
Filed under: uncultured Alphaproteobacteria bacterium
Lineage: Bacteria; Pseudomonadati; Pseudomonadota; Alphaproteobacteria
Description: bacterial SSU rRNA
Rfam family: Bacterial small subunit ribosomal RNA
Source: RNAcentral